GACGUAGGGCGCGAGCGUUGUCCGGAUUUAUUGGGCGUAAAGAGCUCGUAGGCGGUUCGGUAAGUCGGGUGUGAAAACUUUGGGCUUAACCCAAAGCGUGCACUCGAUACUGCCAUGACUAGAGUUCGGUAGGGGAGUGGGGAAUUCCUAGUGUAGCGGUGAAAUGCGCAGAUAUUAGGAGGAACACCGGUGGCGAAGGCGCCACUCUGGGCCGAAACUGACGCUGAGGAGCGAAAGCGUGGGUAGCAAACAGG
RNAcentral lists this ribosomal RNA (254 nucleotides) under uncultured bacterium. RNAcentral's name for it is "partial 16S ribosomal RNA". It matches the Rfam family "Bacterial small subunit ribosomal RNA", at positions 524 to 776 of the family's 1533-position model. The record is from RNAcentral.